Molecule: long non-coding RNA, 2713 nt
Filed under: Marmota monax (woodchuck)
Lineage: Eukaryota; Metazoa; Chordata; Mammalia; Rodentia; Sciuridae
Source: RNAcentral
AGCGGCUGGUCAUCACAGUUGGCAUCACCCUGGAUGCCCAGCAGCCCUGUCCUGUUUCUGGGACCUGUGAGUCAAAGAAAAGGCCCCUGUCCCAGGGGAGUGACAGGUGGUAAUUAGGCUGCAUUGGGUGGGGAGGUUUGUCUCAGCCUCCACUGUUCCCGGAAACCACUGUUCUCCUUGGAGCAGCCACUGGGAGUUGGAGUGUUUAUUUGAUUUUGAACUUGCUAAGCCUGUAAUUUACCUACCAGAACAGACAGAGUCCAGCUGUCUGAACUGUCAUUAAAAGCAGAUCCUGGGCCCACCCCCAUCUGCAGCACACCCAGCAGAAGUGGACCCACCCACAUGCCCAGGGAUGCACAUCUCUGGAGUCUACACUCUGCACCUCUGAGGACAGACCUCAGGGAGGGCAGCAGCAGUGGACAAUUUGGGUCCAUGCUGUGGGACAGCAGCCCUUUUAGCUGGACCAGAGGACAUCCUUGUGUGAGUUCAGAGGAAGAGACCCUCCCAUAUACAACAAAGGGUAGGUCCAGACUGUCUGGAAGGUGGUGAAUUCCCCAUGAAUGUAGGCUUCAAACAAAGGCCUGCAGGGAUUAGACAAAGCACCAGCCUGAAUGUUCAGCAGACUGACUUGCUUAGUGCCGAAGCAAAUUCCCUUUCUCAUUCUUGCUUCAUUCUUUCAUCUAUGACAUGAGGGCAUAGGAUUUGUGUUAGUCAGGUUUCUGUUACUGUAACAAAAUACUGAAGACAAUCAAUUUUAAAGAAGAGGAAAGUUUUUAGUGGGCAUGGUGGUUUCCUGUAGUUCCAGCUACUCAUAGGAGGCUGAAUCAGGAGGAUCUCUUGAGCCCACAAGUUCAAUAUCAGCCUGGGCAAUAGAGACAGGCCUUAUCUGAAACAAAACAAAACAAAACAAAACAAAAAAGAAAGAAAAAGAAAAAAGAAAGAAAAGGAAAAAGCCCCCCAAGAAUUUGGUUCAUGUUUUAGAAGUUUUAGCCUCUGGUUGGUUGACCCCAUUAUUUCUGGGCCUGUAGUGAGGCAGCCGAUCAUGCUGUGGGGUGUGGGGUACAGCAAAGUUGUUAGCUUAUGGCAUCUGAGAAACUGCAGAGGGAGAGAAAGAAGAAGAGGAAAGGCUUGGGUCCCACUAUCUCUCCCAGAGCAAACCUCAAUGAACCUGAGACCUCCUAUUAAGGCCCACCUCUUAAAGCUCCCCACCUCAAUAGAAGCAAGCCAGGGACUAAACUUUUAAUACAUGUGCCUUUGAGGGACAUCCAGGUCAAACUAUGGUGCAACACUCAUCCCCAAAGCUCUUCCAGUCUGAGAAUCUCUCUGCCAUCCUCCCUCUCCCUCCCCCAAAACCUAAGGGCCCAGCCACAGGAUUCAGGACUUUACCUGACAGCUCUCUCCUCCCAACAUCAGGGUAGUGGAGGCUUGGGAACUAUUCGACAAACAUCAGUGUUUGGUCUCUCCAAAGCCCAGUGCGUGACUUGACCUGGUCUGAGGGUCCAGGAUGGGGUGACAUGAAUGUUCUGAAGAUGCAGACUCUGCCUUUCCCCCCAGGUAUGGGAGCAGGAAUGUAAGGACCAUGACACGACUCUCUCUUCCUGCAGCAAAGCAGAGUGUAGCUGUCCUGAUGGCCAGAAUGCUGGUGCCUUUAGGCAGCUACCAGGUGUCAUCAAAUAGACAAGGUUUUGGAGAAGGAAGAACACAGUAGGCACAUAGCCCAUGAGGGGGUGGUCUUAUUGCCCAGCCACUUGGCUCUCUGGUUGCCUCUGGCUGCCCCGACUAUGUUCACAGCUGCACGUCACAAGCAAAAGUAAGGUGGCCAACCCGGGGCCCAGGAGCAGAGAUUCCCCACAGACACCUUCACAAGCGCAGUGUGGUACUGGCCCUGCUACCAGCUGAGCAUGUGAAGUCCUGUGUUUUUGUGGCUUUCUGUAGGAAAGUGGGUAACGUGCUUUAGAGAAAUUCCCCACAAUUUUGCAGGAAAGGAGGCUGUGGACAGGAGAAGGAGGGGUUUUAGAGUCAAACAGAUCUGGUGUCCAGUCCUGGCUCUGGCUCUUGUGACCCAACCUCAUCACAAGCCCUCUGUGUCUGCUCCUUGCUCUAUCGAGGGGUGCUGGCCUGGCUCUGCCCUUGCAAGGCCUCUUGAGGGUCAGAUGCGCCCAUAGAGCACUUAGCACAGUAUCUCAUUUUAAAUGACCUUUCCUGUGGGCCCCCUUGGCCAGUGUUCCCAGGAACACCCUCUCCUUCUGGGAUGGGCCCUGGAGGUGCUGCUGGACUUACCUCAAAAAUCCACUCUCUCUUUUUCCUUCUGCACUCUCACCUUCCUGGGAGAGCACAGGGACAGCACUGACUGGGGUCUCUCCUGAUGAAGGGCAGGCGUGGCCCACCCGUGCCUUGCUGGUGAGUGUGGUGCCCCCUGUAUCCUCACAGGAAGCUGAGGGGGACUUUCCAUCAAAGGUUUCUCUUCUUACUGGGAAGCCUUGAGCAAGCAUUUGGCCCUUUUUUAAAAAAUAUUAUUUUUUAUUUUUUUCUCACUUAAGAAAACAUGACACGAGUGCCAGGGAAAUUUUUGAAAAUAACAGAAAACAGAUGACAGUCCCCCAUCACCCCGCACACGAUGAGCUGCUGUGAGCCCUCCCCGGCCUUGGCACACUGGUCUUUACACGGGAUGUAUGGAUUACUACAGUUAGGUCCACACUCUAUGCACUUUGGU